Molecule: small nuclear RNA, 105 nt
Organism: Ictidomys tridecemlineatus (thirteen-lined ground squirrel)
Lineage: Eukaryota; Metazoa; Chordata; Mammalia; Rodentia; Sciuridae
Source: Ensembl
GUGCUUCCUUCUGCUGCAUAUACACUAAAAUUGGAAUGAUAGAGAAAAUUAGCGUGACCCCUGUGCAAGGAUGACAUACAAAUUCGUGAAGCAUUCCAUGAUUUU